CCAAGCUGGAUGAGUUAGUUGCCAAUUGUGUCUCCCUGGAGUUUGGAAGAGCCCAUUAACUUUCCAUUUUUUUUUUUUUUUUGUAAUAUUCUCAUUAUGUAUCAUUUCGUUUUUUUUUUUGUUAUCCCAUCCACACUCUCAACUGAGUAAAGAAAAUCUGUGCAUAGAGAUGUGUUAUCUGAUGAUGAUCAACUGAACUUGAUUAUUAUUUCUAAUGCAUUCAUCAUUUUCACUUCUUUCUCUUCUAAUUUGCAAGCAAGAGAAUGGUGGAUUCGAUUUUGAUUUUCGACUUGUUCAAGCCUUCUAAGAGUGAAAGUUUGUCUAAAAUGUUUAUUUUUUUCUGCCGAUGCCCGACUUGUUUACGACAUUAAUUCCAACCUCGAACAUCUUGGUGGAUGAUAUAUGCUGAAAUAUCAGUGAGUUCCGCUUAAAAUUGAUUAAUAUUAGAUAAUUAACCUGUAAUUUUAGUUCAUGAAUGAA
This is a long non-coding RNA of Cucurbita moschata (crookneck pumpkin), 480 nucleotides long. RefSeq lists it as uncharacterized. The record is from RefSeq and is a predicted model, not a curated record. The transcript has 2 exons. NCBI's taxonomy places the organism in Eukaryota, Viridiplantae, Streptophyta, Magnoliopsida, Cucurbitales, Cucurbitaceae.